AUUGAACGCUGGCGGCAGGCUUAACACAUGCAAGUCGAGCGGGGAAGGGUAGCUUGCUACCUGACCUAGCGGCGGACGGGUGAGUAAUGCUUAGGAAUCUGCCUAUUAGUGGGGGACAACAUUCCGAAAGGAAUGCUAAUACCGCAUACGCCCUACGGGGGAAAGCAGGGGAUCUUCGGACCUUGCGCUAAUAGAUGAGCCUAAGUCAGAUUAGCUAGUUGGUGGGGUAAAGGCCUACCAAGGCGACGAUCUGUAGCGGGUCUGAGAGGAUGAUCCGCCACACUGGGACUGAGACACGGCCCAGACUCCUACGGGAGGCAG
Molecule: ribosomal RNA, 321 nt
Filed under: uncultured Pseudomonadota bacterium
Lineage: Bacteria; Pseudomonadati; Pseudomonadota
Description: bacterial SSU rRNA
Rfam family: Bacterial small subunit ribosomal RNA
Source: RNAcentral